UACGUAGGGGGCAAGCGUUGUCCGGAUUUAUUGGGCGUAAAGAGCGUGUAGGCGGCCGCACAGGUCCGUUGUGAAAACUGGAGGCUUAACCUUCAGACGUCGAUGGAAACCGUGCGGCUAGAGUCCGGAAGAGGAGAAUGGAAUUCCUGGUGUAGCGGUGAAAUGCGCAGAUAUCAGGAAGAACACCCGUGGCGAAGGCGGUUCUCUGGGACGGUACUGACGCUGAGACGCGAAAGCGUGGGGAGCGAACAGG
RNAcentral lists this ribosomal RNA (253 nucleotides) under uncultured bacterium. RNAcentral's name for it is "partial 16S ribosomal RNA". It matches the Rfam family "Bacterial small subunit ribosomal RNA", at positions 524 to 776 of the family's 1533-position model. The record is from RNAcentral.